This is a long non-coding RNA of Hippocampus comes (tiger tail seahorse), 1167 nucleotides long. RefSeq lists it as uncharacterized. NCBI's taxonomy places the organism in Eukaryota, Metazoa, Chordata, Actinopteri, Syngnathiformes, Syngnathidae. The transcript is spliced from 4 exons. The record is from RefSeq and is a predicted model, not a curated record.
UUGUCAUGUUCUGUCUUGAUUGUGCUCCAGCUCCAGCUGGAGAGAAGGGCGGAUCCCUCCGGCAGGCGCACCUGUGCCUCGUUUCCUCAUUAAGCCUGGCUCUGUAUUUAAGGACUCGCAUGCUGUUGUGCUUUAACUGUGAUUUUUCUAGACCCCUCGAUACCAUUCAUAGUUGCUCUUGUUUUGUUCACUGAUCAUUGAGGCAAAUGAAGCUUUUAAGCUAGGUGGAGGAAAGGUGAGGAGGGGGGCCUUACCACUGAAAACAUUAAUUGACUUUCUGCACAGCGUCACUUAUCCUCUGACUGGGACAUGAAUCAACCAGGCAUCAUAUUCCUGACACUGACAAACAGCCUGACAGGUAAGUGAACUGGCAGUGGCAUACAUACGCUAUUUGGAGACAAAAACAAUCUGACAAAACGAGCUUCGUUUGUACAGUAUUGCAUUCCAGCACAAAUGUUUUUCAUCUAUUUAUAUACCGAAAUACAAAGUGAGCCGCUAAACAGCAUGCUGCCACCCUGUCCUGCUCUGAUCUGUUUGGGCUAUAAAUAGACAUCCCUUGCUGUGGCAUCCACUGAAUCAAUCUGUCUGGAUCCAUUUAUCUAUCAAGCGGACUGCCCGCUUGUUUGCUCAUCUGUCCGAUUGCAUUUCCGAGAGGCUUGCCUCUCUCUCAGGCAAAGCAGUGGCCUUCUGCUGAGGUGUCCUAGACCCCGGACGGACAACGACUUUGGUGACACUGCAGCAGCAGUGACCUCACGCCAUCCCACAACAAAUCAAAGGACAAACAAGCAAGCAUGCAGCAACAGCUGGCCAGAUCACGUGGUGUCACCUUGUUUGUCUCCCACUGCAUCCUUUCUCGUUUAACCUCACACUGAUGGGAGGGGAUACAUUGAUUGCCACGAUUCUGAAAGCACGAUGGAUGAAAACAAGUUGGACCGGCGUGGGAAUGGGAGAAAGGGAACCACCAAUGGAAACCCAAUGUGACGCGCUGAUGAUUGCAUUGAUGUUUGAAAUCAAUGUGAUUGAACCAUGCAGAGCCGCCCUGUGUAAGCACAGUGCUCGUGGACGUGCGCGGAGCUGUCACAUCAGCAGCUUUGCAUAGCUGCAGUGUUACAUAAGCGGGGGUGGGAGGUUAUGUAGUGAAGGAAUCCUGCACUCCACCUGGGCUAA